UGCGCGGCGCUGCUGCAGCACUCGCUUUUAACCCUAUUUUUUCCAUUUAACCCUAUUUUGUUAACCCUAUUUUUCUUUAACCCUAUUUUUCUUUAUUUAACCCUACUUUUAUUUAAUCCAUUUUUUUUAUUUAACCCUAUUUUAUUUAACCCUAUUUUUACUUAACCCUAUUUUUUUUAUUUAACCCUAUUUUCAUUUAACCCUAUAUUUUUUCUUUAACCCUAUUUUUUUUCUUUAACCCUAUUUCUUUAACCCUAUUUUUAUUUAACCCUAUUUUCAUUUAACCCUAUUUUUCUUUAACCCCAUUUUUUAACCCCAUUUUUUUAACCCCAUUUUUUCAUUCAACCCCAUUAUUUUUCCCCCCCCCCCCCCUUUCCCCCCCCCCCCCCCGACCCACCUGCCCGGCGCUGCUGCAGCACUCGCUUUUAACCCUAAUUUUUUCCAUUUAACCCUAUUUUCAUUUAACCCUAUUUUUACUUAACCCUAUUUUUCUUUAACCAUAUAUCUAUUUAUCCCUUUUUUUUUAUUUAAUCCUAUUUUUUCUAUUUAACCCUAUUUCUUUAACCCUAUUUUUUUAUCCCAUUUUUUUCUUUACCCCUAUUUUUUUUUUAUUUAACCCUAUUUUUUUUUCUUUAACCCCAUUUUUUUUUAAUUUAACCCCAUUUUUUUCUUUAACCCUACUUUUUUUUUUACUUAACCCCAUUAUUUUCCCCCCCCUUUCCCCCCCUCCCGACCCACCUGCGCGGCGCUGCUGCAGCACUCGCUCUCCAGCUGGGGGUCCCGCAGGCGCCGGGCGCAUUUUCCCUAUUUUCAUUUAUUUAACCCUAUUUUCCUUUAACCCUAUUUUCCUUUAACCCUAUUUUUUUUCAUUUAACCCUAUUUUCAUGUAACCCUCUUUUUAUUCAACCCUAUUUUUCUUUAACUCUAUAUCUAUUUAACCCUAUUUUUCUUUAUUUAACCCUACUUUUAUUUAACCCUAUUUUUUUUCUUUAACCCUAUUUUCAUUUAACCCUAUAUUUUUUUCUUUAACCCUAUUUUUUUCUUUAACUCCAUUUUUCUUUAAACCCAUUUUUUUCUUUAACCCUAUUUUUUUUUCUUUAACCCUAUUUUUUUUUCUUUAACCCUAUUUUUUUAACCCCAUUUUUUCUUUAACCCUAUUUCUUUAACCCUAUCUUUCUUUAACCCCAUUUUUUUAACCCUAUUUUUUUAAUCCUAUUUUUUUAUUCAACCCUAUUUUUAUCUAACCCUAUUUUAUUUAUUUAACCCUAUUUUCACUUAACCCUAUUUUUCUUUAACCCUAUUUUUCUUUAUUUAACCGUACUUUUAUUUAACCCUAUAUUUUUUCUCUAACCCCAUUUUCAUUUAACCCUAUUAUUUUUCUUUAACCCUAUCUUUCUUUAACCCUACAAUUUUUUCUUUAACCCUAUUUUUCUUUAAUCCUAUUUUACUUAACCCUAUUUUCCUUUAACCCUACUUUUUUCAUUUAACCCUAUUUCCAUUCAACCCUAUUUUUUUUAUUUAACCCUAUUUUUUCUA
This 1536-nucleotide long non-coding RNA is filed under the name Anas platyrhynchos platyrhynchos (common mallard). RNAcentral describes it as "lncRNA (ENSAPLG00000020282.1)". Lineage: Eukaryota; Metazoa; Chordata; Aves; Anseriformes; Anatidae. The record is from RNAcentral.